CCCGAAACAGCCUAAAAACAUUCAUCAAUUCAAGUUGGUUCUGUGAAAGAAGUUCAACACGGUGAUCAUGAGGGAGCCGGAAAAAUGCAGCUCGGUUAUUCUGGAACAUCUGCAAGAAUCAACUCAUUGUUCAUUAUGGAUUUUGCGUGAUUGAAGCGGUUUAAUCAAUGUCGGGCACCAAGAAAUGAUUUAAUAAAGCUGCAGCGAAGAACAGCAAUUUAGAGUAGAUCCAUAUAUCCGUAGUAGAUCUUUAUGAAAUAAAUGAAUAUGAUGAUAAUUAAUACGAAA
Aedes aegypti (yellow fever mosquito) is the source of this 288-nucleotide long non-coding RNA. RefSeq lists it as uncharacterized. The record is from RefSeq and is a predicted model, not a curated record. NCBI's taxonomy places the organism in Eukaryota, Metazoa, Arthropoda, Insecta, Diptera, Culicidae. The transcript is spliced from 2 exons.